AGCCCGUUAGCUAAGUUGGUUAAAGCAUCCGGCUCAUAACCGGAAGAUUUCGUGGUUUCGAGCACCACACGGGCUACCA
Molecule: transfer RNA, 79 nt
Filed under: Caudoviricetes sp.
Lineage: Duplodnaviria; Heunggongvirae; Uroviricota; Caudoviricetes
Description: tRNA-Met
Rfam family: tRNA
About the family: Transfer RNA (tRNA) molecules are approximately 80 nucleotides in length. Their secondary structure includes four short double-helical elements and three loops (D, anti-codon, and T loops). Further hydrogen bonds mediate the characteristic L-shaped molecular structure. tRNAs have two regions of fundamental functional importance: the anti-codon, which is responsible for specific mRNA codon recognition, and the 3' end, to which the tRNAs corresponding amino acid is attached (by aminoacyl-tRNA synthetases). tRNAs cope with the degeneracy of the genetic code in two manners: having more than one tRNA (with a specific anti-codon) for a particular amino acid; and 'wobble' base-pairing, i.e. permitting non-standard base-pairing at the 3rd anti-codon position.
Source: RNAcentral